Molecule: RNA transcript, 1774 nt
Organism: Equus quagga
Lineage: Eukaryota; Metazoa; Chordata; Mammalia; Perissodactyla; Equidae
Gene: SAP30
Gene name: Sin3A associated protein 30
Exons: 9
Source: RefSeq, a predicted model, not a curated record
GCGCUUCGCGCUUGCGCAGGUCGAGGACUUGGAGAGAGGCGGAGGCGCAGUAGUCCAACUACUGAAGAGUCUCCAUGUGACAGUGAGCGGGGUCCCAGCUGCAGGCGCCGCCCGGCUCUAGUUCCCGACCCCAAGCCCUGUCCACUGACCCGGCGCCUGCAGACACCAGCAGGCCGGGGACAGUUGGUGUUGGGCCGUGCCUUCGGAGGACUUGAGGUGCAGAGGGAACUGCCGCCGCCGGGCAGGUGCCUGAGGGACCCGCCGAGAGCCCGGCGUCUGCGGGGAGAGACGGAGCGGACUUUCUGUCGGCGCCGGCGCCCCUGAGCGCCCAGGCAUGAACGGCUUCACGCCGGAGGAGAUGAGCCGCGGCGGGGACGCGGCCGCCGCAGUAGCCGCCGUGGUCGCUGCUGCCGCCGCCGCCGCCGCCGCCGCUGCUUCGGCGGCGGGGAACGGGGCCGGGGCGGGGGCCGGGGCUGAGGUACCCGGCGCCGGGGCGGUCUCCGCGGCCGGGGCCCCGGGAGCGGCCGGGCCGGGCCCGGGACAGCUGUGCUGUCUGCGGGAGGACGGUGAGCGGUGCGGCCGGGCAGCGGGCAACGCCAGCUUCAGCAAGAGGAUCCAGAAGAGCAUCUCCCAGAAGAAGGUGAAGAUCGAGCUGGAUAAGAGCGCAAGGCAUCUUUACAUUUGUGAUUAUCAUAAAAACUUAAUUCAGAGUGUUCGAAACAGAAGAAAGAGAAAAGGGAGUGAUGAUGAUGGAGGAGAUUCACCUGUUCAAGAUAUUGAUACUCCAGAGGUUGAUUUAUACCAAUUACAAGUAAAUACACUUAGGAGAUACAAAAGACACUUCAAACUACCAACCAGACCAGGACUCAAUAAAGCACAGCUUGUUGAGGUGAAUAAAGUACAAAGAAUGAGUGGGAGGACUUGCCCACAGGAGCAACAAAGACUAAGAAGACCUCUUGUUGAACCGUGGUUUAUAUUGCUCCAGAGACCAUCUGUCUCUUUGAGGCGGCUUCUGGAGCCUCCCAAAGUAAAACUUUUAUGUGUGGCUUCAAUCCUUCUGGAGUCACUGAGGGUGGUUGUGUGGGGAGAAGCGGAGCUGGUUUCAAACUUCACAGGUCCCUCCCAGGAGAGAGUGAAACUUAUGAAAGCAGACUCUACUGUGGAGUCUCGAGUGAGGCCCUUGAGGAUACAGCAGAAUUACCAAGGAGCUAUUGUGUAAGCUGUUGAGCAGAUGCUGCUACAACUACAGGGAGAGAACUGCGUCCGAGAGGCAUUCGUCCUGGAAUGCAGUUCCAAAGGACAUCCUCCAUGGCAGAUGGGUAACCAAGACAGUGCGAUGGAAUGCCUGGUUGAGAGGAGUACCAGUAAACUUUGAACUACGUUUGUGAGAGGUGAACAGAAGGGGUGCUGCAAUCUGCAUCUUGAUUGUUUCUGUUGAUUGAAGCUGGCAGAUAAUUGCAUAAAUCUUCUUUUCACUUUGCCUAAGAAGAUAUGUUGAAUGCAAAUCUCUAAGGGAUCAAAAGUGGUUACCAAGCAAGUCCAUUUUCAGAAUUGACUCCAUAUACAAAGGAAUCUCGACAGAUGACAAGAACAGAAAGGUUAAAAUAUAAAUACAUGAAAAAUAACAACAUGGGACUUUCAUUUCUAGCAAUAUUUCUGACUAGAUAAUCUGAAAACUCUCUUACUAAAAAUCAUGUAGAUACAUUGGAUAAAAAUAUGAAAUGUAUGCUUUUAAGUGCUAAUAAGAAAGUAAAGUAAAUACGUUAGAACCUUA